UGUACCAAAUCAAUUUCCUAAAAUACUAGGACAUAUUUAAUGCACAAUUGACCAAAUGGUUGGGUGUAAAAAGUUUUGAUCCACCUCUCGUGAAAAGGACAAAUUCUCGCCGAUUCAGCCGGAAGCGGGUCAAAUUUGAACUGUAGCUACCUCGUAGUUUGCUCUUGAUUUUUUUCCAAAAAUCAUUUCUAGGUACAUAAGUAUCUAUUUAAUCAGAGAAACAUCAAAACGUCUCCAAGAUUCAACAACUAGCUACGAAUGGUCAAGACCGCUGUUUUGACCGCAUUUUGAAAUGGGCAGAAAAAAUUCAAAAAAAUUCAAAAAAUUGGAAAACCUUCGCAUUGUGUCAUCAUAUGUGACCAAGUUUCCAGCAAAAAUAAUAAACUUGUAAUAUGGCCAUUAUUUUAAAAAAGUGUUCUCAGAAACGAGCUAUCAAGUCUGAAGAUUCAUGGCUUUCAAGCCAAAUGAUCAAUCUUAUGGCCACAUUCAUGACAUAGUUUGUUCAAAUGAUCUCAUAUUGUGCACAAGGGUGCAUCUUGGAAUGGCAGACAAUGUUGCCUAAGGAAGUUUUCAUUUUCUUUCUACAAAAAAUUCAUUUUCCUUUUUUCGAGUGCCCGAAAUGAGUUUUUUUGUGAAGGACCUAUAAUAUAUUUGUUGCAAAAUUGUGCCAAAUCAAUUUUCUAAAAUGCUAGGACAUAUUUAAUGCACAAUUAGUCAAAUGGUUGGCUGUAAAAAGUUUUGAUCCACCUCUCAUGAAAAAGACAAAUUCCUGCCGAUUCAGUUGGAAGCGGGUCAAAUUUGAACCGUAGCUACCUCGUAGUUUGCUCUUUAUUUUUUCCAAAAAUCAUUUCUAGGUACAUAAGUAUCUAUCUAAUCAGAGAAAUAUCACAAGGUCUCCAAGAUUCAACAACUAGCAAGGAACGGUUAUUCCCGCCGUUUUGACCGCAUUUUGAAACGGGCAUAAAAAAUUAAAAAAAUCAAAAAAAUUGGAAAACCUUCACAUUGUGUCAUCAUAUGUGACCAAGUUUCCAGCAAAAAUAAUAAACUUGUAAUACAUCUAUUAUUUUAAAAUUGUGUUCUCAGAAACGAGCUAUCAAGUGUGAAGAUUCAAGGCUUUCAAGCCAAAUGAUCAAUCUUAUGGCCACAUUCACGACAUAGUUUGUUCAAAUGAUCUCAUAUUGUGCACAAGGGUGCAUCUUGGAAUGGCAGACAAUGUUUCCUAAGAAGUUUUCAUUUUCUUUCGAAGAAAAAUUCAUUUUCCAUUUUUCGAGUGCCCGAAUGAGUUUUUUGUGAAGGACCUAUAAUACAUUUGUUGCAAAAUUGUACCAAAUCAAUUUCCUAAAAUACUAGGACAUAUUUAAUGCACAAUUGACCAAAUGGUUGGGUGUAAAAAGUUUUGAUCCUCCUCUCGUGAAAAGGACAAAUUCUCGCCGAUUCAGCCAGAAGCGGGUCAAAUUUGAACUGUAGCUACCUUAGUUUGCUCUUUAUAUUUUCCAAAAAUCAUUUCUAGGUACAUAAGUAUCUAUUUAAUCGGAGAAACAUCAAAAGGUCUCCAAGAUUCAACAACUAGCGAGGAACGGUCAAGCCCGCCAUUUUGACCGCAUUUUGAAACGGGCAUAAAAAAUUCAAAAAAAAUAUCCAAAAAUUGGAAAACCUUCGCAUUGUGUUAUCAUAUGUGACCAAGUUUCCAGCAAAAAUAAUAAACUUGUAAUACGACAAUUAUUCUAAAAAAGUGCUCUCAGAAACGAGCUCUCAAGUGUGAAGAUUCAUGGCUUUCAAACCAAAUGAUCAAUCUUAUGGCCACAUUCAUGACAUAGUUUGUUCAAAUGAUCUCAUAUUGUGUGCACGGGUGCAUCUUGGAAUGGCAGAUAAUGUUUCCUAAGGAAGUUUUUGCUUUCUUUGGAAAAAAAUUCAUUUUCCUUUUUUUUGUGCCCGAAAUGAGUUUUUUUGUGAAGGACCUAUAAUAUAUUUGUCGCAAAAUUGUACCAAAUCAAUUUCCUAAAAUACUAGGACAUAUUUAAUGCACAAUUGACCAAAUGGUUGGGUGUAAAAAGUUUUGAUCCACCUCUCGUGAAAAGGACAAAUUCUCGCCGAUUCAGCCGGAAGCGGGUCAAAUUUGAACUGUAGCUCUCUCGUAGUUUGCUCUUUAUUUUUUUCCAAAAAUCAUUUCUAGGUACAUGAGUAUCCAUUUAAUCAGAGAAACAUCAAAACGUCUCCAAGAUUCAACAACUAGCUACGAACGGUCAAGCCCGCCGUUUUGACCGCAUUUUGAAACGGGCAUAAAAAAUUCAUAAAAAUCAAAAAAUUAGAAAACCUUCUCAUUGUGUCAUCAUAUGUGACCAAGUUUCCAGCAAAAAUAAUAAACUUGUAAUACGGCCAUUAUUUUAAAAAAGUGUUCUCAGAAACGAGCUAUCAAGUGUGAAGAUUCAUGGCUUUCAAACCAAAUGAUCAAUCUUAUGGCCACAUUCAUGACAUAGUUUGUUCAAAUGACCUCAUAUUGUGCACAAGGGUGCAUCUUGGAAUGGCAGACAAUGUUUCCUAAGGAAGUUUCCAUUUUCUUUGGAAGAAAAAUUCAUUUUCCUUUUUUCGAGUGCCCGAAAUGAGUUUUUUUGUGAAGGACCUAUAAUAUAUUUGUUGCAAAAUUGUGCCAAAUCAAUUUCCUAAAAUACUAGGACAUAUUUAAUGCACAAUUGGCCAAAUGGUUGGGUGUAAAAAGUUUUGAUCCACCUCUCGUGAAAAAGACAAAUUCCUGCCGAUUCAGUUGGAAGCGGGUCAAAUUUGAACCGUAGCUACCUCGUAGUUUGCUCUUUAUUUUUUCCAAAAAUCAUUUCUAGGUACAUAGGUAUCUAUUUAAUCAGAGAAAUAUCACAAGGUCUCCAAGAUUCAACAACUAGCUAGGAACGGUCAAGCCCGCCGUUUUGACCGCAUUUUGAAACCGGCAUAAAAAAUUCAAAGAAAUAUAAAAAAAUUGGAAAACCUUCGCAUUGUGUCAUCAUAUGUGACCAAGUUUCCAGCAAAAAUAAUAAACUUGUAAUACGACAAUUAUUUUAAAAAGUGCUCUCAGAAACGAGCUAUCAAGUGUGAAGAUUCAUGGCUUUCAAACCAAAUGAUCAAUCUUAUGGCCACAUUAAUCACAUAGUUUGUUCAAAUGAUCUCAUAUUGUGCACAAGGGUGCAUCUUGGAAUGGCAGACAAUGUUUCCUAAGGAAGUUUCUAUUUUCUUUGGAAGAAAAAUUCAUUUUCCAUUUUUCGAGUGCCCGAAAUGAGUUUUUUUGUGAAGGACCUAUAAUAUAUUUGUAGCAAAAUUGUACCAAAUCAAUUUUCUAAAAUACUAGGACAUAUUUAAUGCACAAUUGACCAAAUGGUUGGGUGUAAAAAGUUUUGAUCCACCUCUCGUGAAAAAGACAAAUUCCUGCUGAUUCAGUUGGAAGCGGGUCAAAUUUGAACCGUAGCUACCUCGUAGUUUGCUCUUUAUUUUUUCCAAAAAUCAUUUCUAGGUACAUAAGUAUCUAUUUAAUCAGAGAAAUAUCACAACGUCUCCAAGAUUCAACAACUAGCUAGGAACGGUCAAGCCCGUCGUUUUGACCGCAUUUUGAAACGGGCAUAAAAAAUUCAAAAAAAAAUCAAAAAAUUGGAAAACCUUCGCAUUGUGUCAUCAUACAUGAGCAAGUUUCCAGAAAAAAUAAUAAACUUGUAAUACGGCAAUUACUUUUAAAAAAGUGUUCUCAGAAACGAGCUAUCAAGUGUGAAGAUUCUUGGCUUUCAAGACAAGUGAUCAAUCUUGUGGCCACAUUCAUCACAUAGUUUUUUCAAAUGAUCUCAUAUUGUGUGCACGGGUGCAUCUUGGAAUGGCAGAUAAUGUUUCCUAAGGAAGUUUUUGCUUUCUUUGGAAAAAAAUUCAUUUUCCUUUUUUUUUGUGCCCGAAAUGAGUUUUUUUGUGAAGGACCUAUAAUAUAUUUGUCGCAAAAUUGUACCAAAUCAAUUUCCUAAAAUACUAGGACAUAUUUAAUGCACAAUUGACCAAAUGGUUGGGUGUAAAAAGUUUUGAUCCACCUCUCGUGAAAAGGACAAAUUCUCGCCGAUUCAGCCGGAAGCGGGUCAAAUUUGAACUGUAGCUAUCUCGUAGUUUGCUCUUUAUUUUUUUCCAAAAAUCAUUUCUAGGUACAUGAGUAUCCAUUUAAUCAGAGAAACAUCAAAACGUCUCCAAGAUUCAACAACUAGCUACGAACGGUCAAGCCCGCCGUUUUGACCGCAUUUUGAAACGGGCAUAAAAAAUUCAUAAAAAUCAAAAAAUUAGAAAACCUUCUCAUUGUGUCAUCAUAUGUGACCAAGUUUCCAGCAAAAAUAAUAAACUUGUAAUACGGCCAUUAUUUUAAAAAAGUGUUCUCAGAAACGAGCUAUCAAGUGUGAAGAUUCAUGGCUUUCAAAACAAAUGAUCAAUCUUAUGGCCACAUUCAUGACAUAGUUUGUUCAAAUGAUCUCAUAUUGUGCACAAGGGUGCAUCUUGGAAUGGCAGACAAUGUUUCCUAUGGAAGUUUCCAUUUUCUUUGGAAGAAAAAUUCAUUUUCCUUUUUUCGAGUGCCCGAAAUGAGUUUUUUUGUGAAGGACCUAUAAUAUAUUUGUUGCAAAAUUGUGCCAAAUCAAUUUCCUAAAAUACUAGGACAUAUUUAAUGCACAAUUGGCCAAAUGGUUGGGUGUAAAAAGUUUUGAUCCACCUCUCGUGAAAAAGACAAAUUCCUGCCGAUUCAGUUGGAAGCGGG
RNAcentral lists this long non-coding RNA (4759 nucleotides) under Triticum aestivum (bread wheat). RNAcentral's name for it is "long non-coding RNA (TAES_LNC008336)". The record is from RNAcentral. Lineage: Eukaryota; Viridiplantae; Streptophyta; Magnoliopsida; Poales; Poaceae.